This 412-nucleotide long non-coding RNA is filed under the name Fukomys damarensis (Damara mole-rat). RNAcentral's name for it is "lncRNA (ENSFDAG00000021622.1)". The record is from RNAcentral. Lineage: Eukaryota; Metazoa; Chordata; Mammalia; Rodentia; Bathyergidae.
GCCUCCUUGAUCCCUUAUUAAAAGGUAUCUCUGUGACAAUGCACAUCACCUAUGCUAAGAUGAGUAUAUUAAAUCACUAUUGCAUUCUGGGUCAAUUCAUAAGAUCAUCUUUUUCACAGGAGUAGCUUAAGUGGUCUGGGUACUGACGCUGAACCAUUUCCAAUAAAGUAGGAAGAGAUAUGAAGACUCAAAUACAGGACCCACACCCCAGCCAGGAGAAUUUCCUUUACUCAUGAAUUUGCUGCCAUCCGUUUUGUUUCGGACUAAAUCUGAAGGGCCAAGCUGGAACACAGAGGCAAACAGGAGCUCAGACUCUUCUGAGAGACGUUGCUGCCCAGCCAUGAUUACUCAUGCUCCUUUAGUCAUUCGCCUUGCCCGCAGGACAUAGUGAUCAAUAAAGCAAUAUAACCAC